Molecule: long non-coding RNA, 537 nt
Organism: Phyllostomus discolor (pale spear-nosed bat)
Lineage: Eukaryota; Metazoa; Chordata; Mammalia; Chiroptera; Phyllostomidae
Exons: 3
Source: RefSeq, a predicted model, not a curated record
UACCCUUUACAACAGCACGGAUAAACCUAGAGAAUAUUAUGCUAAGUAAAAUAAGCCAGUCAGAGAAAGACAAAUACCAUAUGAUUUCAUUCAUAUGUGGAACCUAAUGAAUAAAUUGAUUGAACUAACUAGCAAAACAUAGACAGACUCAUAGAUGGAGAGCCAAUGACAGCUAGUUGUGGAGGGAGGUUAGAGGCUUGAGGGAUUGAGCAGAGGAAAAAUGACUUAUGAAUACAGACGGCAGUAUGGUGAUUGCUUGGGGGAGGGAGUUAUAAGGGAACUAAAUGAUAAUGGAAAAAUACAAUAAAGAUUAAAUUUAAAAAAGAAAGUUACUGUCAAAAAUAGAAGUGAAAAAAAUGCUCUGAGGAAAAAACCCACUGAUGAUUCAAAAUGUGUCUUUCACGAUAAAGUCAUUGAUGUUAAGUUGCAAGUUAAAAUUUGAAGUUAUUUAUAAAUUAUGAAAAAAAUAAAGUUACUUUGACAAGCAACCAAUUCUAGAAAGGCACAUUAACUAUCUAUUACAUCCCUAAAUGCAGG